RNAcentral lists this ribosomal RNA (118 nucleotides) under uncultured bacterium. RNAcentral describes it as "partial 16S ribosomal RNA". It matches the Rfam family "Bacterial small subunit ribosomal RNA", at positions 338 to 455 of the family's 1533-position model. The record is from RNAcentral.
CCUACGGGAGGCAGCAGUCAGGAAUAUUGCGCAAUGGAGGAAACUCUGACGCAGCGACGCCGCGUGGGUGAUGAAGGCCUUCGGGUCGUAAAGCCCUGUCGGAGGGGAAGAAAAGUUG